GGUGGUUAGCUCAGUGGUAGAGCACAUGCUUAGCGCGCAUGAGGUCAUGAGGUCCUGGGUUCAAUCCCCAGUGCCUCCA
Molecule: transfer RNA, 79 nt
Filed under: Camelus bactrianus (Bactrian camel)
Lineage: Eukaryota; Metazoa; Chordata; Mammalia; Artiodactyla; Camelidae
Also listed under: 2 other names
Rfam family: tRNA
About the family: Transfer RNA (tRNA) molecules are approximately 80 nucleotides in length. Their secondary structure includes four short double-helical elements and three loops (D, anti-codon, and T loops).
Source: Rfam by way of RNAcentral